This 443-nucleotide ribosomal RNA is filed under the name uncultured bacterium. Its description in RNAcentral is "partial 16S ribosomal RNA". It matches the Rfam family "Bacterial small subunit ribosomal RNA", at positions 355 to 788 of the family's 1533-position model. The record is from RNAcentral.
UGGGGAAUAUUGCACAAUGGGCGCAAGCCUGAUGCAGCCAUGCCGCGUGUGUGAAGAAGGCCUUCGGGUUGUAAAGCACUCUCAGCGAGGAGGAAGGGUUCAGUGUUAAUAGCACUGUUCAUUGACGUUACUCGCAGAAGAAGCACCGGCUAACUCCGUGCCAGCAGCCGCGGUAAUACGGAGGGUGCAAGCGUUAAUCGGAAUUACUGGGCGUAAAGCGCACGCAGGCGGUUUGUUAAGUCAGAUGUGAAAUCCCCGCGCUUAACGUGGGAACUGCAUUUGAAACUGGCAAGCUAGAGUCUUGUAGAGGGGGGUGAGAAUUCCAGGUGUAGCGGUGAAAUGCGUAGAGAUCUGGAGGAAUACCGGUGGCGAAGGCGGCCCCCCUGGACAAAGACUGACGCUCAGGUGCGAAAGCGUGGGGAGCAAACAGGAUUAGAUACCCU